RNAcentral lists this ribosomal RNA (450 nucleotides) under uncultured bacterium. RNAcentral's name for it is "bacterial SSU rRNA". It matches the Rfam family "Bacterial small subunit ribosomal RNA", at positions 354 to 796 of the family's 1533-position model. The record is from RNAcentral.
GUGGGGAAUAUUGGACAAUGGGCGAAAGCCUGAUCCAGCCAUGCCGCGUGUGUGAAGAAGGUCUUCGGAUUGUAAAGCACUUUAAGUUGGGAGGAAGGGCAGUAAGUUAAUACCUUGCUGUUUUGACGUUACCGACAGAAUAAGCACCGGCUAACUUCGUGCCAGCAGCCGCGGUAAUACGAAGGGUGCAAGCGUUAAUCGGAAUUACUGGGCGUAAAGCGCGCGUAGGUGGUUUUGUAAGUUGGAGGUGAAAUCCCCGGGCUCAACCUGGGAACUGCCUCCAAAACUGCAUGACUAGAGUACGGUAGAGGGUAGUGGAAUGUCCUGUGUAGCGGUGAAAUGCGUAGAUAUAGGAAGGAACACCAGUGGCGAAGGCGACUACCUGGACUGAUACUGACACUGAGGUGCGAAAGCGUGGGGAGCAAACAGGAUUAGAUACCCCUGUAGUCC